CUCGCCCGCCGCGCCGCGGUCGCCGCGUGCCUGCCCCCGGCCUCCAUGCUGCCCGCCGCGGUCGCGCUCUGCCCCGGCUGCGGUGCUCGCCCCCGAGACGUGCCACCUGCCAUGCUGGCACGGCACUAUCACCACCUUCUCCGCCUAGCGGCGCCUCCGCCUCCUCCGCCUUCGCCUCCUCCCGGCGCCGCGUCGGCUGCUGCUCGGCAUCGCCCGCCGUCACAUGCUCUCCCCUGCCUCAGGCUGCUGCUAGGCAAGCAUCUGAAUUGCAAAAUCAUGGGACCGCAAGCGAUCGAUACCUGCAGCUCCAGGAUCUCCAUCUACUGAACGUUCUUGACUUCUUGGCCUCUUCGUUCAUGCCAGAGUCAAGUUGAUAGGCGAAUCAGUUGACAGGAUGAUAGGCGAAUCAGUUGACAGGCAGUUCAUCAAGGAGGAGAUACUACUGUAUUCCUGUGCAGGUCGACAGGCGAGACCAACUGUUAUUUACCUCAAGCAAACUAAAUCAGUAAGCUCCCAGGCAAACUGAAGAAACUGAAGCCAGUUCAGAUUGCUACUUGGAGAAAUAACCGUGAAGCUAUGGAAGCCUUUUCAUGAUGAAGUUCAAGUUUUGAUUGAGUCCUUAGUUUUUUUAUUGGCGUGGAGUUUCUGUAAUCCAGCCUGGCGCAUUUUUUUUUAAUUUUUUCAGUAUUAGUUGUAGCUUCAGUUCAGUAUUAGUCCAUAAUCCAUGAUGAAGUUAUGCACAUAGCUUCAGCAAAUGUAUGAUACAGUUGUAGCUCUUGAAGCCUUUUCAGUUCAGCGAAUGAAAGCUGAGUUCAGUGAAUGAUUGUCAA
Molecule: long non-coding RNA, 830 nt
Organism: Panicum virgatum (switchgrass)
Lineage: Eukaryota; Viridiplantae; Streptophyta; Magnoliopsida; Poales; Poaceae
Exons: 2
Source: RefSeq, a predicted model, not a curated record